UCUCUGUUAGUAUAUCGGUUAGUACACGCGCCUGUCAUGAAUCAAACAUCUGCAUCGCGCGAAAGCGGGGUUCGACUCCCCGACAGAGAG
Non-coding RNA from Epithele typhae, 90 nucleotides. Lineage: Eukaryota; Fungi; Basidiomycota; Agaricomycetes; Polyporales; Epitheliaceae. The record is from the annotation of a RefSeq genome assembly.